CAGCCGCCGCGGGAAUACGAAGGGUGCAAGCGUUAAUCGGAAUUACUGGGCGUAAAGCGUGCGUAGGCGGUGAGUUAAGUCUGCUGUGAAAUCCCCGGGCUCAACCUGGGAAUGGCAGUGGAUACUGGCUCGCUAGAGUGUGUCAGAGGACGGUGGAAUUCCCGGUGUAGCGGUGAAAUGCGUAGAGAUCGGGAGGAACAUCAGUGGCGAAGGCGGCCAUCUGGGACAACACUGACGCUGAGGCACGAAAGCGUGGGGAGCAAACAGGAUUAGAUACCCCGGUAGUCCCUGUCUCUUAUAC
Molecule: ribosomal RNA, 301 nt
Filed under: uncultured bacterium
Lineage: Bacteria
Description: partial 16S ribosomal RNA
Rfam family: Bacterial small subunit ribosomal RNA
Source: RNAcentral